GUUAAUUUGCAUAUCACCGCAGCUAGUUUUAUUUCCUUAGUGCCGUGUUAUCAUGAAGCCCUUCAAGCCGGCAUAAACCAGAACCAAAGAAAUAAUGCUUUAACAGCACCACGCUGCAAUCCUCUCCCAUUGAUGUCACCUCUGAUGUCCAUAGCUGCAGCAGAACACAGCAGACAGCUGAGUGUGCAGUAGAAGUUUCUGGAGCUGCAGUGUGCUCGUGCACCAACAGGAGCUGGAGGCGAAGUGUCUAUGCAGAGGCCUGCUUCCCUCGGGACCCUUCCAAAUGACUCCGGUGACCCUGCGGCCCUCCUCGAUAGUCGGCAUGCACUCCAGCAGGUCGCAGGCAGAGGUCAGGGGUCACUUGAAGCAACACGGUCUCAAUAUGUGACACAGACUAACAGGAUCAAAAGGCAAAUGAACUCUUUGGACAAGGUCAUGUUUUUGCAUGUUGGUGAAAGGAUUGACAAGGCUAGUGAUUUAACCUCAAGUGCAAUUAUGAGAGGUUGUUUGGUGUCUGAAUUUGACUUCCUAUUACAAUUUGACCACCUCUGUCUCUUUGGUUCUUUAUCUAAUAUCUUCCAAAAAAUUUGAAUCCUUGUUAAAAAAUGUUGUUUUAAAAGUAUACAUUGACUGACUGUAUCUAAAAAUAUACAGCUUUGAAUAUUAUGUUGUGCAAUGCCUUUUUCUAUUUAACAAGCCCUGACCAAAUCCAGUGAAUUAGGGAUGACAGUGUUAAAGUGCAAAUCUAAAUAGAGCUGGUCAUAUUAGCUUUAUUUGUAGAGAUAUAGCUUUAAUCAUUUGAACACAAUAUACUAUCAAGAAUAAGAGAAACAAAAAUCUGAUAUUAUGCCUCCGUGCAUUGCUUUAAAUUAUUUUCAUCCCAGCACAAACACUGAAUGUGUAUCAUUAAUAUCAGCUCUGAUCUACAAGCUACAUGCUAACUGACUGGGUUUAAAUAACGUACAUUUCUCCCUCCAUCCAGAGUAAUGUUCCAAAUUUGUUGCCUUCAUUCCAAUCAGCGAUAUUUCCUGGUCGCAGCGUGGUGUUACAUUGUGUUAAUUAGAACCAUAGGCUGGCUUUAUGACAAAGUGUGGGAGGACCUGGAGGUUGAAGUGCUGCAUGAAUGCGAUGUGCAUCAUCAGCCUAAUGAAAUAUAACAGUGAAAAUUAAGUCAGCCGCACCUGAGGCACGCAGAACAACAGGGUUACUGAUGCCAAAUGAUGUAGGCUUCAGCUGUGUGUGUGUGUGUGUGUGUGUGUGUGCGCCUGUGUGUGGAUAUGUGUGUGUUUAUAUAAGUGCAUUUACCAGAGCGUGAAACCACAAAGGAAGCAAUUAUGUUUGUUACUGUAUUAAUUCUUUCUUUGGAAUAGAAAGGAAGAAAACACUGCAGAGGAAAUGUGAUGUAGGCUGCGUAUCUUUUUUGUCCUAGUUGGAGCACCACAUUCGCCAAAGUGCAUCAAAGUGUCAGCAAUUCAAAUAUGAAAUAUGGAUGAAGACAAUGGUGCAUUUCUCACAAUUUUUCUAAUAAACUGUCAAUCAAACUGCUCUCUGAAUGACACUAAUAUCACAUGAUGCAGCAUCCCGAAUCAGAGUCCUCAUCGAUGCUCGUUCCCCCCCUUUUGGCUCAAUGUGAGGCCUGUCCUCCCCUCUUAUUAUCACCAUCAUCAUUCGGACAUGAAAGGAGAGAAACAAGUGCCGCACCAUUGCCAAGGAGAAACCUUGAUCUCCCAGCAUUUGCAUUCGCCACCUUGUUCCAUUGGGUGUGUGAACGCAGUUAGCAAGGUGGUCUCUGAUUGGAUGCCACUGAAAAGCUGGCAUUCUGCUACAAUGCUCAAAGCAGACGACAGGCUCUCCCCCUCCCCCCCCUCCCCCUCUCUGUACACUGUCAAACUCAGCUAGUGGCACUAGGGGGCAGCCCACUCUGACAGUUGUUGCUGUGAAGCAGGCAUCUAGAGGAGGGUUUUCAUCAAGAGAAAAAAGAAACAGAGCAAGAAAAAAUAUAUAUUCAAAUGAUUAAUUCAUUCAUGUUGAUUCCUUUUAAAAAAUCUAUUAGGAGUCUGUGAGCUAAGAAAAACAGACUGUAAGCUGUGUGAAGCAUAACAUUCAUACUGUAAAUCAUGGAUUAAGCAUAGACUCAGAAUAUGGCAUAAUCUUGUCUUUGUGUGCCUCACUAGAAGCACAUAACUGAACUAAUAAUUAAUAAUAAUAUAUGUGGUAAAGUUUUCUUUACCAUAAAUAAAAUAAGCAGCCAUGGUGUGUCUGAAUCAACCCCUUUCACCGUGAGAUGUGUGAGAGAUUGAUAAGCGACACAUCUCAUUUUAAUUCUAAGAAUGUUUAAAAAGGCCAAGAUGGAUAGGGAAUAAAAACCGCACAUAAUCUAGAUUACUUCUUUUGUUUUUAUUAGUGAGUGAAUAGGGGUCGUUAAUUUAUUGUUUCUCAUUAGACACAUGCUUACACUCACUGCAGAAGGAGCUAUAUUGUUGCAGUGUGUUUGUGGUGUGUGGUAUCUAUCAGGAUGCUGCUGAUUGAAGCCCAACAACAAUAAAGCAUGAAGCACCCAAAAAAUGAGCCGUGUUUAUUUGUAAAUGAAUGGAUGUAAGAAUAGUGAUUUGAAUCUCAAGGACAGUCAGCUAUUUCUUAUUUCUUUCACGAGGCAGUGGACUUAACAUUUCAAACAUGACUAGAUUUAAACGUACUUAGCUUGGUUAUAAUCUCGGCCUCUUUUUUUUUUUUUUACCUCCAUAUUUCCUGCUUUGCAUACAGAACAGGUGCAUGUUUGGCUCAAUGAAGGCAUGACACACAACUAUGGAUUUUUGAUGACAAUUAUAAGUGAGGUAAGUAAAUGAUAAAAGGGUUAGAAUAAGAGCGAGAGUUGCAGGGAAAAGGUGGACUAUGGUGGAGACUCUCCUCCUGAAUGAGUGUAUCAUGUAUUUCUGGGUAUUAUCUGUGGUUUCAGCUGCUGCAGAUCUAUCAGAGCUAUCUGACCUGUUCAAACAAGAUUAAACAAGACCCGUUUUACAUUCUCCACAUUCCCUUUAUAAAAUAAAUUACCUUCUAACUGUCCCCUCUCAAUUAGUAUUUUUUUAUUUCUCUGAGCGUUCCUGAGAUGCAGCAUGAAUAGGCUGAAUUGUUCCAUUAGUAUAUAAACUGCAUGCUCUUUUGCAAACUAUUAAUAAAGGCUAUUGAUCAAA
This is a long non-coding RNA of Labrus bergylta (ballan wrasse), 3191 nucleotides long. RefSeq lists it as uncharacterized. NCBI's taxonomy places the organism in Eukaryota, Metazoa, Chordata, Actinopteri, Labriformes, Labridae. The record is from RefSeq and is a predicted model, not a curated record.